AGUGUGUUUCGACACACUAUCAUUAACUGAAUCCAUAGGUUAAUGAGGCGAACCGGGGGAACUGAAACAUCUAAGUACCCCGAGGAAAAGAAAUCAACCGAGAUUCCCCCAGUAGCGGCGAGCGAACGGGGAGGAGCCCAGAGCCUGAAUCAGUGUGUGUGUUAGUGGAAGCGUCUGGAAAGGCGCGCGAUACAGGGUGACAGCCCCGUACACAAAAAUGCACAUACUGUGAGCUCGAUGAGUAGGGCGGGACACGUGGUAUCCUGUCUGAAUAUGGGGGGACCAUCCUCCAAGGCUAAAUACUCCUGACUGACCGAUAGUGAACCAGUACCGUGAGGGAAAGGCGAAAAGAACCCCGGCGAGGGGAGUGAAAAAGAACCUGAAACCGUGUACGU
RNAcentral lists this ribosomal RNA (395 nucleotides) under Escherichia coli. Its description in RNAcentral is "partial 23S ribosomal RNA". It matches the Rfam family "Bacterial large subunit ribosomal RNA", at positions 130 to 563 of the family's 2925-position model. The record is from RNAcentral. Lineage: Bacteria; Pseudomonadati; Pseudomonadota; Gammaproteobacteria; Enterobacterales; Enterobacteriaceae.